RNAcentral lists this ribosomal RNA (253 nucleotides) under uncultured bacterium. RNAcentral describes it as "partial 16S ribosomal RNA". It matches the Rfam family "Bacterial small subunit ribosomal RNA", at positions 524 to 776 of the family's 1533-position model. The record is from RNAcentral.
UACGGGGGGGGCAAGCGUUGUUCGGAAUCACUGGGCGUAAAGGGCUCGUAGGCGGCCAACUAAGUCAGACGUGAAAUCCCUCGGCUUAACCGGGGAACUGCGUCUGAUACUGGAUGGCUUGAGGUUGGGAGAGGGAUGCGGAAUUCCAGGUGUAGCGGUGAAAUGCGUAGAUAUCUGGAGGAACACCGGUGGCGAAGGCGGCAUCCUGGACCAAUUCUGACGCUGAGGAGCGAAAGCUAGGGGAGCAAACGGG